Phoenix dactylifera (date palm) is the source of this 890-nucleotide RNA transcript. RefSeq lists it as uncharacterized. The record is from RefSeq and is a predicted model, not a curated record. NCBI's taxonomy places the organism in Eukaryota, Viridiplantae, Streptophyta, Magnoliopsida, Arecales, Arecaceae.
CCGUGAGCUGUUCGCAAUCGAGCAAAAAACAGGAGCCGAGCCCCACCUGCCUCCCUUCCCCCUGCUCUCUUUCUCAAUCUCCACCCACAGAACGAGAGAGAGGGGGGGAAGAUAUCACCUUUGGCUUCCAUGGAGGAAUUCAGAUCGAGGUCGUGCGGGGACGGGAGGAUGGAGCUGGAGGUCUACGGGAGCCGGGCGGUCCCUCCGGCCUCGGGCCUCCACGAGCUGCGGUGCUACAGCGCCUCUUAUGCGUCGUCGCAGCAGAACAGCUACGAGGUCCCCAAGGAGAUCAAGUUCAAGAAGGGGAAGAGCACCGUGGGUUCGUCUUCCUCCAAGAGUGGGUGGAGCCUCAGUGACCCGGAACUGCAGAGAAAGAAGAGGGUGGUAGGCUACAAGGCCUACGCUGUGGAGGGGAAGAUGAAGGGGUCUCUGAGGAAGAGCUUCAGGUGGCUCAAGGAGAGAUACACCCAGGCGGUCUACGGCUGGUCGUGAUUCCUCUUCUCUCGUUCAUUACUUGUGGGCCUGAUUUGAAGCCCCAGAUUCGACUGGAAAUUUGGAAAAAGAAUUGGUGAUGAGUUUGGAUCACCUGGCUGCGGGUCAAGUCUUCUUGUCAGGGAGUCGAGGAGAUUUUGCAUCACAUUUCCAGCUCAUUACUUGCGACAGCGGGAAAGGAUGUAAAAAAUCCCUUCCCAGCCCUAUAUUAUGCGUUUUUCUUUUAUUUAAUUAAAAUUGGAGCUUUUAUUACGAGAUUUAUCUGCCAGAUAUAUCAGUGUAUCCGCCAAUUUGAACAUUGCGUUCAACACCGAGUUUAGCAGGCUAAUGAACUAUAUAACUAUGUUCUUUGUUUGUCAAUAUCUUCCAGGAAUAUGAUGUGGUAUCCAUGACUUUAA